UUCCGGUUGAUCCUGCCGGAGGUCAUUGCUAGUGGAGUCCGAUUUAGCCAUGCUAGUUGCACGAGUUCAGACUCGUAGCAGAUAGCUCAGUAACACGUGGCCAAACUACCCUACAGAGCGCGAUAACCUCGGGAAACUGAGGCUAAUAGCGCAUACGGCUCUCACGCUGGAACUGCGGAGAGCUCGAAACGCCCCGGCGCUGUAGGAUGUGGCUGCGGCCGAUUAGGUAGACGGUGGGGUAACGGCCCACCGUGCCAGUAAUCGGUACGGGUUGUGAGAGCAAGAGCCCGGAGACGGUAUCUGAGACAAGAUACCGGGCCCUACGGGGCGCAGCAGGCGCGAAACCUUUACACUGCACGCCAGUGCGAUAAGGGGACUCCAGGUGCGAGGGCAUAUAGUCCUCGCUUUUGUACACCGUAAGGUGGUGUACGAAUAAGUGCUGGGCAAGACCGGUGCCAGCCGCCGCGGUAAUACCGGCAGCACGAGUGAUGACCGCUAUUAUUGGGCCUAAAGCGUCCGUAGCUGGCCAGGCAAGUCCGUCGGGAAAUCUCCCCGCCCAACGGGGAGGCGUCCGGUGGAAACUGCUUGGCUUGGGACCGGAAGAUCCAGAGGGUACGUCCGGGGUAGGAGUGAAAUCCCGUAAUCCUGGACGGACCACCGGUGGCGAAAGCGCUCUGGAAAGACGGAUCCGACGGUGAGGGACGAAAGCUCGGGUCACGAACCGGAUUAGAUACCCGGGUAGUCCGAGCUGUAAACGAUGUCUGCUAGGUGUGCCACAGGCUACGAGCCUGUGGUGUGCCGUAGGGAAGCCGUGAAGCAGACCGCCUGGGAAGUACGUCCGCAAGGAUGAAACUUAAAGGAAUUGGCGGGGGAGCACUACAACCGGAGGAGCCUGCGGUUUAAUUGGAUUCAACGCCGGA
This 920-nucleotide ribosomal RNA is filed under the name uncultured archaeon. RNAcentral describes it as "bacterial SSU rRNA". It matches the Rfam family "Archaeal small subunit ribosomal RNA", at positions 1 to 922 of the family's 1478-position model. The record is from RNAcentral.